RNAcentral lists this signal recognition particle RNA (99 nucleotides) under Psychroserpens burtonensis. Its description in RNAcentral is "signal recognition particle sRNA small type". It matches the Rfam family "Bacteroidales small SRP", at positions 9 to 102 of the family's 107-position model. From Rfam's summary of the family: The non-coding component of the signal recognition particle in Bacteroides Lineage: Bacteria; Pseudomonadati; Bacteroidota; Flavobacteriia; Flavobacteriales; Flavobacteriaceae. The record is from RNAcentral. RNAcentral also lists the same sequence under 10 other names.
UGGCAAGUCCUACACAACUAGCUCCUGUUGAAUCCUCCAGGUCGGGAACGAAGCAAAGGUAAAUGGUCGUAGCAGUGUGAUGUAGGUAGCUUGCCUUUU